GGUCCCAAGGGUAUGGCUGUUCGCCAUUUAAAGUGGUACGCGAGCUGGGUUUAGAACGUCGUGAGACAGUUCGGUCCCUAUCUACCGUGGGCGUUUGAGACUUGAGGGAUGCUACUCCUAGUACGAGAGGACCGGAGUGGACGCACCUCUGGUGUUCCGGUUGUCACGCCAGUGGCACCGCCGGGUAGCUAUGUGCGGACGAGAUAACCGCUGAAAGCAUCUAAGCGGGAAGCUUUUCCCAAGAUAAGGUCUCACCGGGGACUUGAUCCCCCUGUAGGGCCCUCGAAGACGACGAGGUUGAUAGGCCGGAUGUGGAAGCGCGGUAACGCGUGAAGCUGACCGGUACUAAUUGCCCGUGAGGCUUGACCAU
RNAcentral lists this ribosomal RNA (370 nucleotides) under Gammaproteobacteria bacterium. Its description in RNAcentral is "partial 23S ribosomal RNA". It matches the Rfam family "Bacterial large subunit ribosomal RNA", at positions 2561 to 2925 of the family's 2925-position model. Lineage: Bacteria; Pseudomonadati; Pseudomonadota; Gammaproteobacteria. The record is from RNAcentral.